RNAcentral lists this ribosomal RNA (498 nucleotides) under uncultured bacterium. RNAcentral's name for it is "partial 16S ribosomal RNA". It matches the Rfam family "Bacterial small subunit ribosomal RNA", at positions 30 to 523 of the family's 1533-position model. The record is from RNAcentral.
AUUGAACGCUGGCGGCAUGCCUUACACAUGCAAGUCGAACGGUAACAGGUCUUCGGAUGCUGACGAGUGGCGAACGGGUGAGUAAUACAUCGGAACGUGCCUAGUAGUGGGGGAUAACUACUCGAAAGAGUGGCUAAUACCGCAUGAGAUCUACGGAUGAAAGCAGGGGAUCGCAAGACCUUGUGCUACUAGAGCGGCCGAUGGCAGAUUAGGUAGUUGGUGGGAGAAAAGCUUACCAAGCCGACGAUCUGUAGCUGGUCUGGGAGGACGAUCAGCCACACUGGGACUGAGACACGGCCCAGACUCCUACGGGAGGCAGCAGUGGGGAAUUUUGGACAAUGGGCGAAAGCCUGAUCCAGCAAUGCCGCGUGCAGGAUGAAGGCCUUCGGGUUGUAAACUGCUUUUGUACGGAACGAAAAGCCCCGGGUUAAUACCCUGGGGUCAUGACGGUACCGUAAGAAUAAGCACCGGCUAACUACGUGCCGGCCGCCGCGGUAA